AGUUGGUUCGUGACGAGCUCGGCCUCUCCUCUUGACACGGAACAAAAGCUCGACCGGAUCGACUCGAUUCACAGAGAAAAUUCGGUUUGGUUUGCAAGACGGUCGAUCGUGUAGAGGUUGUUUUCAUUUUCCAAGGCUAGGGAUUCGUCUGUAACGCGAUGAUAAUACCGCGUUCUUUCGACGACGAGGGCUAGCCUUGCCCUUGAAACGGCAGCCGGAGUUUGGAGUGGCCGGUACACAGCGUAACGCGCACGACGACGUUCUACCAGCUGUGCGCCGGAAUCGCGGCCCGCGUGUGUGUUGUGUUCGACGUUUUUCUCUUGUUUGCUUUUCUGCGUGCGUCUUCCUUUACCCUUUCUUCUAUCGUUCGCGUUGUCCGUGAUUCGUGACAAAAGAAGACUGUUUUUCCUGUUUCCCUUACUUUACGCAUUACUCUUGUUCGGUUUUGUUUGGUGCUUAUUAGUGAGAAUCCACCGGGACGAUAGGAACAAAGGGUCGGAGCCAGCGGCUGUGAAAGAGCAACAGAGACAGGCAGAGUGGGAGAGAAAUAUCGCGGUGUAUCGAUCGAGAGUGGAGCUUGCAGUUGACUGAAUUUCGUGGUACUAGCGAAGCCAACGAUUUUUUAUCGAACCAUGUGGAAUGUGUCUCGCGAAAUGGGGGAGAACUAAAUUCUGCAAACCAGGUGGCAAAAUCCAGAGGGAAUUGGAGCGCGCAACGCGGGACCAGUUGGACACAGAGAUAGAUCGAAAGAGGAGAGGGGAGGAGAGGAUAUUCACCACUCGUCGGGAGUUCUAGUUUGAUUGGCAGGUGAC
Long non-coding RNA from Eufriesea mexicana, 812 nucleotides. RefSeq lists it as uncharacterized. The record is from RefSeq and is a predicted model, not a curated record. Lineage: Eukaryota; Metazoa; Arthropoda; Insecta; Hymenoptera; Apidae. The transcript has 4 exons.